CGCCUGUUUAUCAAAAACAUCGCUCCCUGUAACUCAAAAAUAGGGAGUCGGACCUGCCCGGUGAAAUGUGUUAACGGCCGCGGUACCCUGACCGUGCAAAUGUAGCGUAAUAAUUUGCCUUAUAAUUGAAGGCUGGUAUGAACGGUUUAACAAGAAUAUUGCUGUCUCUUUAUAAUUCAGUAAAAUUGUAUCUUAAGGUAAAGAAGCCUUAGUUCAAUUGAUAGACAAGAAGACCCUAUCGAGCUUCAACAAAAUUAGAAGACAAAUCAAUAUGCCUAAAAAACAAACUUCUAACAAUUUUGGUUGGGGCAACCGAGGAACAAAAAAAGCUUCCUCUAAUAACAAAAUACAUACAAGUCUUGAUCCAAAAAAUUUGAUUAUAGAAAUUAGUUACCUUAGGGAUAACAGCAUUAUCUUCCUUGAGAGCUCAUAUCGAAAGGGGGGGUUGUGACCUCGAUGUUGGACCAGAAUACCCCAAAGGUGCAGAAACCUUUAAAGGUUGGUCUGUUCGACCAUUAAAAUUCUACGUGAUCUGAGUUCAGACCGGA
This 548-nucleotide ribosomal RNA is filed under the name Turridae sp. 2 NP-2008. RNAcentral describes it as "partial 16S ribosomal RNA". It matches the Rfam family "Bacterial large subunit ribosomal RNA", at positions 1797 to 2620 of the family's 2925-position model. The record is from RNAcentral. Lineage: Eukaryota; Metazoa; Mollusca; Gastropoda; Neogastropoda; Turridae.